GAUGAACGCUAGCGGCAGGCUUAACACAUGCAAGUCGAGGGGUAACAGGAGGCGCUUGCACUUCGCUGACGACCGGCGCACGGGUGCGUAACGCGUAUACAAUCUACCUUUUGCUGAGGGAUAGCCCAGAGAAAUUUGGAUUAAUACCUCAUGGUAUGUAGUAAUGGCAUCAUUAUUAUAUUAAAGGUUACGGCAAAAGAUGAGUAUGCGUUCUAUUAGCUAGAUGGUAAGGUAACGGCUUACCAUGGCGACGAUAGAUAGGGGCCCUGAGAGGGGGAUCCCCCACACUGGUACUGAGACACGGACCAGACUCCUACGGGAGGCAGCAGUGAGGAAUAUUGGACAAUGGGCGCAAGCCUGAUCCAGCCAUGCCGCGUGCAGGAAGACUGCCCUAUGGGUUGUAAACUGCUUUUAUACAGGAAGAAACACUCCCUCGUGAGGGAGCUUGACGGUACUGUAAGAAUAAGGAUCGGCUAACUCCGUGCCAGCAGCCGCGGUAAUACGGAGGAUCCAAGCGUUAUCCGGAAUCAUUGGGUUUAAAGGGUCCGUAGGUGGAUAAUUAAGUCAGAGGUGAAAUCCUGCAGCUCAACUGUAGAAUUGCCUUUGAUACUGGUUAUCUUGAAUUAUUAUGAAGUAGUUAGAAUAUGUAGUGUAGCGGUGAAAUGCAUAGAUAUUACAUAGAAUACCAAUUGCGAAGGCAGAUUACUAAUAAUAUAUUGACACUGAUGGACGAAAGCGUGGGGAGCGAACAGGAUUAGAUACCCUGGUAGUCCACGCCGUAAACGAUGGUCACUAGCUGUUUGGACUUCGGUCUGAGUGGCUAAGCGAAAGUGAUAAGUGACCCAUCUGG
RNAcentral lists this ribosomal RNA (850 nucleotides) under uncultured bacterium. RNAcentral's name for it is "bacterial SSU rRNA". It matches the Rfam family "Bacterial small subunit ribosomal RNA", at positions 28 to 876 of the family's 1533-position model. The record is from RNAcentral.